UACGUAGGGUGCAAGCGUUAAUCGGAAUUACUGGGCGUAAAGCGUGCGCAGGCGGUUGUGCAAGACCGAUGUGAAAUCCCCGGGCUCAACCUGGGAACUGCAUUUGUGACUGCAUAGCUAGAGUACGGUAGAGGGGGAUGGAAUUCCGCGUGUAGCAGUGAAAUGCGUAGAUAUGCGGAGGAACACCGAUGGCGAAGGCAAUCCCCUGGACCUGUACUGACGCUCAUGCACGAAAGCGUGGGGAGCAAACAGG
Molecule: ribosomal RNA, 253 nt
Filed under: uncultured bacterium
Lineage: Bacteria
Description: partial 16S ribosomal RNA
Rfam family: Bacterial small subunit ribosomal RNA
Source: RNAcentral